This 407-nucleotide ribosomal RNA is filed under the name uncultured Bdellovibrio sp. RNAcentral describes it as "bacterial SSU rRNA". It matches the Rfam family "Bacterial small subunit ribosomal RNA", at positions 356 to 777 of the family's 1533-position model. The record is from RNAcentral. Lineage: Bacteria; Pseudomonadati; Bdellovibrionota; Bdellovibrionia; Bdellovibrionales; Pseudobdellovibrionaceae.
AGGGAAUAUUGCACAAUGGAGGAAACUCUGAUGCAGCGACGCCGCGUGAGUGACGAAGGCCUUCGGGUUGUAAAGCUCUGUUCUCAGGGAAAAAGAAAGUGAUUGUACCUGAGGAGAAAGGACCGGCUAACUUCGUGCCAGCAGCCGCGGUAAGACGAGGGGUCCAAGCGUUGUUCGGAAUUAUUGGGCGUAAAGCGGGUGUAGGUGGCUCUGUAAGUCAGGAGUGAAAGCCCCGAGCUUAACUUGGGAAGUGCUUUUGAUACUGCAGAGCUUGAGUGUGGGAGAGGAUCGUGGAAUUCCAGGUGUAGUGGUGAAAUACGUAGAUAUCUGGAGGAACACCGGUGGCGAAGGCGGCGGUCUGGCCCAACACUGACACUGAGACCCGAAAGCGUGGGGAUCAAACAGGA